CUGGCGCGUGGUCUUGCAUUUCCUACUUGGUCCUGUUCGUGGCGCCGCGCCUCCGGGUGUUGGGGAGUCCGGGAUGAUGGGGAAUCCGGGGCUCGCCCUAGUCGCGGGGACACCGCCUUCCAGGAGCUGUCCCCAGGCAAACUCACAGACAUCUUCAAAGAGCCUUCUUGGACAUUCUGCUUUUUGCUCCUCAUAACAGGCUUCGAUGGAGUUUCUCUCUUAUUUUCCAGGCUGCAGUACAGUGGCGUGAUCUCGGCUCACUGCAACCUCCACCUCCCAGGUUCAAGCGAUUCUCCUGUCUUAGCCUCACGAGUAGCCGGGAUUACAGGCACAUGCCCCCAUUCCCAGCUAAUUUUUGUAUUUUUAGUAGUGACGGGGUUUCAUCAUAUUGGUCAGGCUGGUCUCAAACUCCUGACCUCAGGUGAUCCGCCUCGGCCUCCCAAAGUGUUGGGAUUACAGGCGUGAGCCACCCACUGUAUCUCUUGUUCGGAGGAAUAUCUAAUCAAGAAAAUCAUUUUUACUGUUUUUAUUUUUUGGUUUGUUCGUUUUUUUCCUGUGAGAUGGAGUUUCACUCUUGUUGCCCAUCCUGGUGUACAAUGGCGCGAUCUCGGCUCACUUCAACCUCCGCCUCCCAGUGCGUCCGGAAUUGGUGGGUUCUUGGUCUCACUGACUUCAAGAAUGAAGCUGCGCACCCUCACGCUGCACCCUUCUGGUUACCGCUAGAACUGAGCUUUCGCUCGCCGUCCACCACUGCUGUUUUGCUGCCGUCGCAGACCCGCCGCUGACUUCCAUCCCUCCAAUCCAGCAGGGCGCCCGCUGUGCUCCUGAUCCAGGGAAGCACCCGUUGCCACUCCUGAUCGCGCUAAAGGCUUGCCAUUGUUCCUGCAUGGCUAAGUGCCUGGUUUCGUCCUAAUCAAGCUGAACACUAGUCACUGGGUUCCACGGUUCUCUUCCGUGACCCACGACUUCUAAUAGAGCUAUAACACUCACCGCACGGCCCAAGAUUCCAUUCCUUGGAAUCCGUGAGGCCAAGAACCCCAGGUCAGAGAACACGAGGCUUGCCACCAUCUUGGAAGUGGCCUGCCGCCAUUUUGGAAGUGGCCCACCACCAUCUUGGGAGCUCUGGGAGCAAGGACCCCUGGCAUCUGGAUAUUAAGACUGUCUCCAGCCCUUUGAGGUUGAGAGAGGAAGCAAGCACGGAGGAAUGGAUUUGACAACCCACAUGUCCGUGACUCAAAGCAAGCAAGGCCUUGCACAACCAACUCGCCACCCACACAAUCUGCACAGUCUCAGUGAGAAAGCAGGAGCAGGGAGCUCUCCGCUGAGAGUGAAGAAAUGUCCUCAACUCGACUUCUCUGCAGUGUGCAUGUGUGUGAAACACAGACACACACGGGAGGAAUUUGGCUCUGUCAUUUUAGUGUACCAAAGAAAAAAAAACAGGGAGAAAUCACUUGUUUGAAGCCCUAAAUGACAUAAGGAAGAUUUUCCCAGAUCUAAAUAAUGAUCCCUAAGGUCAGGUGCUGUGUAUGGUAUGGAUUUGGAAACUUCAUAAUGUCUCUGACCACCACUCCAGGACACUGCAGACAGGUGUGCAUUUACUCAGCAUCCAGUAAACACCUGCAAGGUGCAGAGUACUACACUAGGCACAGGGAACAGAGCUACUGACUGACUGCCAGAGUUUCGAAGAAUACAGAUAAGUCAACUAUUAAAGCUAGGAAACAGACCGGAUGCGGUGGCUCACGCCUGUAAUCCCAGCACUUUGGAAGACCGAGGCGGGUGGAUCAACUGAGGUCAAGAGUUCAAGACCAGCCUGCCAACAUGGUGAAACUCCGUCCCUAUUAAUAAUACAAAAAAAUUAGCUGGGCAUGGUGGCACAUGCCUGUAAUCCCAGCUAUUCGGGAGGCUGAGGCAGGAGAAUUGCUUGAACCCAGGAGGCUGCAGUGAGCUGAGAUCGCGCCAUUGCACUCCAGCCUGGGCAACAAGAGCGAAACUCUGCCUCCAAUAAAUAAAUAAAUAAAAUAAAAUAAAAUAAAAUAAAGCCAUAAAACAGUAAAGCCAGUCGUUUUUGCCUCAAAUACUCCUCCAAUUCAUCACCUCCUCUCUAUCUCCAUGGCCACCAUCAUCUCUCCCUGGAAAUGCUGCGAGAUCCCUCUAACUAGACUUUCCACAAUUAACUUCCACAUGACCACCAAAGGCAUGCCAUUCUCCUGCUUACACCCUUCCUGGGUGUUAUGGAUUGAAUUAUGGCCCCCGAAGUCAUAUGUUGAAGCCAUAACACCCCUCAAUGUGACUACAUGGAGAGAGGUCCUUUAAGGAGGUAGUUAAGGUUAAAUAAGGUCAUCAGAUGGGGCCCUAAUCCAAUAGGACUUGUGUAUUUUAUUUUUAUUAUUUUUUAGACUCAGUUUCGCUCUGUUGCCCAGGCUAGAGUGCAGUGGCAU
This 2438-nucleotide long non-coding RNA is filed under the name Homo sapiens (human). Its description in RNAcentral is "HSALNT0251776". Lineage: Eukaryota; Metazoa; Chordata; Mammalia; Primates; Hominidae. The record is from RNAcentral.